UUUGAUAGUACCUUACUACUUGGAUAACCGYGGKAAUUCUAGAGCUAAUACAUGCUAAAAUCCCGACUUCSGAAGGGAUGUAUUUAUUAKAUUAAAAACCAAUGCCCUCCGGGGCUCACUGGUGAUUCAUGAUAACCCUCGAAUCGCAUGGCCUUGCGCCGGCGAUGGUUCAUUCAAAUUUCUUCCCUAUCAACUUUCGAUGUUUGGGUAUUGGSAAACAUGGUUGCAACGGGUAACGGAGGGUUAGGGCUCGACCCCGGASAAGGAGCCUGAKAAACGGCUACUACAUCSAAGAAGGCAGCAGGYGCGCAAAUUACCCAAUCCCGACUCGGGGAGGUAGUGACAAUAAAUACUGAUACAGGGCUCUUUUGGGCUUGUAAUUGGAAUGAGUACAAUUUAAAUCCCUUAACGAGGAACAAUUGGAGGGCAAGUCUGGUGCCAGCAGCCGCGGUAUUCCAGCUCCAAUAGCGUAUAUUAAAGUUGUUGUGGUUAAAAAGCUCGUAGUUGAACCUUGGGCCUGGCUGGCCGGUCGCCUCACCGCGUGUACUGGUCCGGCCGGGCCUUUCCCUCUGUGGAACCCCAUGMCCUUCACUGGGUGUGGCGGGGAAACGGACUUUUACUGUGAAAAAAUUAGAGUGCUCCAGGCAGGCCUAUGCUCGAAUACAUUAKCAUGGAAUAAUAGAAUAGGAGUGUGGUUCUAUUUUGUUGGUUUCUAGGACCGCCKUAAUGAUUAAUAGGGACAGUCGGGGGCAUCAGUAUUCAAUUGUCGAGGUGAAAUUCUUGGAUUUAUUGAAGACUAACUACUGCGAAAGCAUUUGCCAAGGAUGUUUUCAUUAAUCASGAACGAAGUUAGGGGAUCGAAGACGAUCAGAUACCGUCGUAGUCUUAACCAUA
RNAcentral lists this ribosomal RNA (894 nucleotides) under Fusarium sp. RNAcentral's name for it is "SSU rRNA". The record is from RNAcentral. Lineage: Eukaryota; Fungi; Ascomycota; Sordariomycetes; Hypocreales; Nectriaceae.